CCCUAUCUCCAUACCGAUGGCCGCGUAUUUGCCGCCUCCUCCUUCCCCCGUCCAUGGUGACGGUGCCUGCGUCACACAUAGACCCUGCCCCAUCCUGUAUGUUGGUCAUUGAUGGGGUGAGAGGCGCGACCACGAUCCAGUUGGGAUCUCGGUGUGGACUCAUUCGUUGUGAUGGAGGACGGCGUUGCCUCCCUGGUGAAUGGGAUCAAAGGGAGGGACGCGAAAGUCGAUGAGGCAGCGGCUGGGAGCCCGACGAUGAACACUGGAGUUCGUCCGGGGGGCGAUCUGAGGCCACCUCAACCGCCGGUGGAGGAGGCUUCCCAUCCAUGUGUUCCUUCCCUCUCCCAAUUCCUUGCUUCCCAUUGGAAUCCUAGAUGGGAGCUGCUGGCCUACAAUAGCGAGCAGCCGCUGGCCUACCUGAAAGGUCAGUAAUUUUCGUCUCUGCAUUUCUUGUAUUUUAAUUGAUCGUUUUAGAUUGUACAAGAUGCUCACGAUCUGUUUUCUGAAAUUGCUAGGAUAGUUUUAAGCAAUAGGCAAACACCGUAUUACAUUUCAUGUUUUUCCUCAAUCCUUGUCCUUCUAGGCAUCCAUCACAUGUUCGGUAAUGACAUGAUGUUGAUGCAUAGUGCAGACUGGCAUUUUUAAUCACGUUAAAAAUUCGGGUGAGGAGGAUUUGAUCUUGCACAAUAGAAUGUCACCAGGUUCUUGUAGAAUGUCUCCACAUCAGUUUCCAGCAUGGUCUCUGCUAUUUGUCCAUACGGGCAAUAAACAUGCCAUGUCAUGCAUACUAACAGCACCAAUACAGAUACUUAUGCUUGCUGAAUUUUGUAGGUGAGAGGAGACAUCAGAUCAUGUUGCAAUGUCGUUGGCAUGGUUGACUGUACAAUCUUAAAACAUGUUUACGGAAAAUGAAUGCAGGAAAGAUCAUCCGGAAAAUGGACUGCUUCAACUACAUUUUUUCUGAUGUACUCCUUGUGUAAAGAAAUAUAAGACCUUUUAGAUCACUGAUCUAAAAGGUCUUAUAUUUUUUUACACAAGGAGUACUAUCUAAUGUAAUUUCUUUUCUGAUAGUGGCAUCGAAUACUUCACAGUUUUGAUGGCCUCUUGAUUCAUGCCAUUAAUAUUGUUUUCCACUAACCAAUGAUGGUUUUCAGUAUAAACUUUUCAAAAAUCCAAAAUCCCUUCCACGUACUAGUCAAUUUUUGAAAAUUGACCCAAAAAAAUUCCAGUGCGUUUCUCUGGUUUAACUCUUUCUUAUACUCUUUAGAAGCUAUGAUGAAAAAGAAGUAACCAUUCUAAAUCCUCUUAUGGUCUUCUAUGUAAAAGCAUCACAAGGUUACCCAGUACUAUUAUUUAGUUCUUGGUUUUCCAGGAUGUAAAUUCCUUCACUGCAUGUAUAUACACUUUGUGAGUUUUUAAUAGUUUUAAGGGGAAUUUCAGGCAAAAGAAUUCAUUAUUAUUAUUUUAGUGAUUUUCAUUUCCUAA
Non-coding RNA from Triticum urartu, 1485 nucleotides. Lineage: Eukaryota; Viridiplantae; Streptophyta; Magnoliopsida; Poales; Poaceae. The record is from RefSeq and is a predicted model, not a curated record.